AAGACUGUAGCAUAAUAGGUUAAUGCAGUCCGCUCAUAAUGGAUAUUAUAAGGGUUCAAAUCCCUUCGGUCUUA
RNAcentral lists this transfer RNA (74 nucleotides) under Thelephora aurantiotincta. RNAcentral's name for it is "tRNA-Met". It matches the Rfam family "tRNA". Rfam says of the family: Transfer RNA (tRNA) molecules are approximately 80 nucleotides in length. Their secondary structure includes four short double-helical elements and three loops (D, anti-codon, and T loops). Further hydrogen bonds mediate the characteristic L-shaped molecular structure. tRNAs have two regions of fundamental functional importance: the anti-codon, which is responsible for specific mRNA codon recognition, and the 3' end, to which the tRNAs corresponding amino acid is attached (by aminoacyl-tRNA synthetases). tRNAs cope with the degeneracy of the genetic code in two manners: having more than one tRNA (with a specific anti-codon) for a particular amino acid; and 'wobble' base-pairing, i.e. permitting non-standard base-pairing at the 3rd anti-codon position. Lineage: Eukaryota; Fungi; Basidiomycota; Agaricomycetes; Thelephorales; Thelephoraceae. The record is from RNAcentral.